Long non-coding RNA from Mauremys reevesii (Reeves's turtle), 507 nucleotides. RefSeq lists it as uncharacterized. The record is from RefSeq and is a predicted model, not a curated record. Lineage: Eukaryota; Metazoa; Chordata; Testudines; Geoemydidae. The transcript is spliced from 3 exons.
GAGAGACCAGAUGUCUCCAGCCUAGCCUGCGACUGGGAAAAGCCGGCGGCCCAAGGCAGCCGCCAGGAUUGGCCGGGCCUGACCUGCGCCCGCUACCCGGAGGAUUUGCUGGGCCUGCUGAGCACCCACUGCCCCGAAGAACCCAUGGUCCUGGACCCCCCGGAGGACAACAACUGGAGCCAGGAUUUCUCUAUCUAGAUGACAGAUCAGGGUCUUCAAAUCACCGAAUUGCAACUGCACUUUAAUCAGCAAGAUCCUCAAGGAGACUCUGAGUAUCCAGGCAACCAGACAGAGGAGAAGGAGAAGCAAAGGAAAUUGCUCAGCUCUGUAGUCUGCCAGAAGAGACUGCUGGAAAAUUGAGCUUCAGAACCCUAAUCAAGAAUCAGGACCCCUUCCAUUCCUGCUCAUCAGAGCUUAAAAUGUAGGUGUUAGACAAAACACAACAAGUGAACAAGACAGACAAAAGGAGUCGAGGUGUUGGGAGGUCAAGACAACAACAAAAUAAAC